RNAcentral lists this unclassified non-coding RNA (381 nucleotides) under Spiculopteragia houdemeri. RNAcentral describes it as "ITS1". The record is from RNAcentral. Lineage: Eukaryota; Metazoa; Nematoda; Chromadorea; Rhabditida; Trichostrongylidae.
CGUCGAAACCAAACACAUGGUUCCUUUGAUCACGAAAAACCAACAGCUAUGUCUUUGCGACUUUGUCGUGAAGGUUGGGAGUAUCACCCCCGUUAAAGCUCUAUCAUAUGAGGUGUCUAUGUAUGACAUGAGUCGUUCGUGAGUGGCGGCUGUGAUUGUUCAUGCGAAGUUCCCAUUUCUGAUGGUUGAGCUUAAGACUUAAUGAGUAUUGCAAGAAUUCCGCCUCAUAGUUUUGUAAUGGUGGUUGAGUACAUACCAGUCAGGUGUGUACGGUACCUGGUUGUCAGGAAAUCUUAAUGAUCUCGCCUAGACGCCAUUACAAAACACAACUAUCUAUGUUUAAAGUUUGCAGAAACGUGUUCACAUAUUUGUGUCACAAUU